AACGCAACUUGCGCCGAGCAAUCGGCAUGUCUGUCUGAGUGUGUAACUAUCUAUACGAUUUUCGUGAAGUGGUGCAAGUGUUGGCUUGGAGAGGAGUAAGGGGAUUUAAUCUCCUUAUUUUGAUUUGUCAAUACUGCACUGAAUGAUAGCAAGAAGAUGCAUAAGUAUCUAGUUCAGGUGCCAAGCAUCCCAGAACAAAAACAUUCAUGCUCUGACCAAACCAAACUUAUUUCACACCUCAGAUCAGUCAAGAUCACCCGCUGAACUUAA
Molecule: unclassified non-coding RNA, 270 nt
Filed under: uncultured fungus
Lineage: Eukaryota; Fungi
Description: partial contains 5.8S ribosomal RNA, internal transcribed spacer 2, and large subunit ribosomal RNA
Source: RNAcentral